RNAcentral lists this ribosomal RNA (439 nucleotides) under uncultured bacterium. Its description in RNAcentral is "bacterial SSU rRNA". It matches the Rfam family "Bacterial small subunit ribosomal RNA", at positions 338 to 774 of the family's 1533-position model. The record is from RNAcentral.
CCUACGGGGGGCAGCAGUGAGGAAUAUUGGUCAAUGGGCGAGAGCCUGAACCAGCCAAGUCGCGUGAGGGAAGACGGUCCUAUGGAUUGUAAACCUCUUUUGUCGGGGAGCAAUAAGACCACGUGUGGUCGAAAGUGAGAGUACCCGAAGAAAAAGCAUCGGCUAACUCCGUGCCAGCAGCCGCGGUAAUACGGAGGAUGCGAGCGUUAUCCGGAUUUAUUGGGUUUAAAGGGUGCGUAGGCGGAAUGGAAAGUCAGCGGUAAAAUUUCCGGGCUCAACCCGGUCGUGCCGUUGAAACUGUCGUUCUUGAGUGAGCGAGAAGUAUGCGGAAUGCGUGGUGUAGCGGUGAAAUGCAUAGAUAUCACGCAGAACUCCGAUUGCGAAGGCAGCAUACCGGCGCUCAACUGACGCUGAAGCACGAAGGCGUGGGGAUCAAACA